CAAAUACUAGCCCAACCCCCACAAAAUACAAGUAAUAAUACUGAAUAAAACAAAACAUUUAUACAAACAAAAGUAUAGGAGAUAGAAAUUAAAAGUAGGCGCUAUAGAGAAAGUACCGCAAGGGAAAGAUGAAAGACAUAUUAAAAGUAAAAAACAGCAAAGCUUAACCCUUGUACCUUUUGCAUAAUGAUUUAACCAGAACAAUUUGACAAAGAGAACUUCAGCCAAAUACCCCGAAACCAGACGAGCUACCUAAGAGCAGCAAAAAGAGCAAACUCAUCUAUGUGGCAAAAUAGUGAGAAGACUCCUAGGUAGUGGUGAAAAGCCUACCGAGCCUGGUGAUAGCUGGUUGUCCAGAACAGAAUUUUAGUUCAAUUUUAAGCCAUGCCCAAAAGACCCAUAAAUCAAAUGCAGACUUAAAUUAUAAUCUAAAAGGGUACAGCCUUUUAGAAGCAGGAUACAACCUUAACUAGAGAGUAAGUACAAAAAUCCCCAUAGUUGGCUUAAAAGCAGCCACCAAUUGAGAAAGCGUUCAAGCUCAACGACUCCACAACUCUAAUACAAAUAAUCAAUUACGAACUCCUAACCUAAUUACUGGACCAUUCUAUUAAAAAAUAGAAGAGAUACUGUUAAUAUGAGUAACAAGAACUAGUUUCUCCGCGCACAAGUUUAUAUCAGAACGGAUACCCCACUGAUAGUUAACAGCAAGAUAAAUCCAACACUACAACUAGAACAUUUAUCAAAAUAACUGUUAGCCCAACACAGGAGUGCACCCAAGGAAAGAUUAAAAGAAGUAAAAGGAACUCGGCAAACACAAACCCCGCCUGUUUACCAAAAACAUCACCUCCAGCAUAACAACUAUUGGAGGCACUGCCUGCCCAGUGACAUCUGUUAAACGGCCGCGGUAUCCUGACCGUGCAAAGGUAGCAUAAUCAUUUGUUCUCUAAAUAAGGACUUGUAUGAAUGGCCACACGAGGGUUUUACUGUCUCUUACUUCCAAUCUGUGAAAUUGACCUUCCCGUGAAGAGGCGGGAAUUAACCAAUAAGACGAGAAGACCCUAUGGAGCUUUAAUUAACUAGCCUAUAAAUAAAAUAAUAAGCUUCCAAGGAAGACAAAAUACCUUUUAGUAGGCUAACAAUUUAGGUUGGGGUGACCUCGGAAUAUAAAGAAACUUCCGAGUGAUUAAAGUAUAGACUAACUAGUCAACACAUACUAUCAAUUAUUGAUCCAAGAAAUUGAUCAACGGAACAAGUUACCCUAGGGAUAACAGCGCAAUCCCACUUGAGAGUCCAUAUCGAUAGUGGGGUUUACGACCUCGAUGUUGGAUCAGGACAUCCCAAUGGUGCAGCCGCUAUUAAUGGUUCGUUUG
RNAcentral lists this ribosomal RNA (1370 nucleotides) under Dobsonia viridis. RNAcentral describes it as "partial 16S large subunit ribosomal RNA". It matches the Rfam family "Bacterial large subunit ribosomal RNA", at positions 381 to 2579 of the family's 2925-position model. The record is from RNAcentral. Lineage: Eukaryota; Metazoa; Chordata; Mammalia; Chiroptera; Pteropodidae.